AUUGAACGCUGGCGGCAUGCCUUACACAUGCAAGUCGAACGGCAGCACGGGAGCAAUCCUGGUGGCGAGUGGCGAACGGGUGAGUAAUAUAUCGGAACGUGCCCGGUCGUGGGGGAUAACGUAGCGAAAGCUACGCUAAUACCGCAUACGAUCUACGGAUGAAAGCGGGGGAUCGCAAGACCUCGCGCGAUUGGAGCGGCCGAUAUCAGAUUAGGUAGUUGGUGAGGUAAAGGCUCACCAAGCCGACGAUCUGUAGCUGGUCUGAGAGGACGACCAGCCACACUGGGACUGAGACACGGCCCAGACUCCUACGGGAGGCAGCAGUGGGGAAUAUUGGACAAUGGGCGCAAGCCUGAUCCAGCCAUGCCGCGUGUGUGAAGAAGG
RNAcentral lists this ribosomal RNA (384 nucleotides) under uncultured bacterium. RNAcentral describes it as "bacterial SSU rRNA". It matches the Rfam family "Bacterial small subunit ribosomal RNA", at positions 29 to 414 of the family's 1533-position model. The record is from RNAcentral.